GGACGCCGCAAGCCAGAUGGUACGGCCUCGCAGGAAAUACCCUGACAGCCAGUCUAACCCCAAAUACCGCUUCAGAGAACUGCUUAGAAGGUUUACAAGAAAUGCCGACCACUGAGACAUGAAUACGGUAGCUGUCUUCAUACGAUCCCCAACUGUUACAUCUCCCGAAACAUCGCCCCCAAAUGGAGCUGGUCCCCGUGCGAUUUCAUCAAGACUUGCCCGAUAUCGCCCUAGUUCAUUCAGUCCCUUUUUACUUUUAACUUAAACGAUAACUUUACAUUUAAACAAUAAUUACCCCUUUUAUAGUCAGUACACAUACUCAGAGUUAGAUUGAGAGAGCUGCGACAACUUUCGACCAGAUGCCAUUUUGUAUCAAAAGAUGCGUUGCCGAAUACAGGACGCCAGACUGGUUACGCAUACGGCUUUUCGAGGUAUGGUUGACACAGUAGGAGUGUACUGUUUGGUUUGGGCGUCUACAGACCAAUAUACA
Long non-coding RNA from Asterias rubens (European starfish), 490 nucleotides. RefSeq lists it as uncharacterized. The record is from RefSeq and is a predicted model, not a curated record. The transcript is spliced from 2 exons. NCBI's taxonomy places the organism in Eukaryota, Metazoa, Echinodermata, Asteroidea, Forcipulatida, Asteriidae.